This 1013-nucleotide unclassified non-coding RNA is filed under the name Bombus terrestris (buff-tailed bumblebee). RNAcentral's name for it is "misc RNA ENSBTSG00005022376.1". Lineage: Eukaryota; Metazoa; Arthropoda; Insecta; Hymenoptera; Apidae. The record is from RNAcentral.
CAGCGUCGAGAGAACGUGGGAGUGGAAUUCCCUGAUUCUCAUGAGCCUUAUUUUGGGAGCGGCUCGUUCAGUCGCCCGGAAGCGGGACUUACAAAUUUGGAGCGGUGGCCCAUUUUUUUCAGUCGCUCUGUAGCUUGCUCUGGCUCAACCGAAAUCAUCGGCCAAUUCCUAGAAGCGGUCUCCGCGCUCCUUCACGAUCACCUUCCUCGCCUUGCCUUCGAAUUUUCUUUAACAACUUCUGUCUUCACUUACUUUACAUAUUCCUCUUCGCAAAUAGUCACAUACUUACGGAAGCAUCAGCUCUAAUGAGAUAUAAAAAUGUUUUAUAUAAUAUACGUGAAACGUUUCAAGAAGUGUUCGAAUACUUUCACGAGCGACUGGAUAUGAAAUAUACCUCGGGUAAAAGAGUUUAAUUUAAUUUUAUACUCGUACCUCAGACAAUAAUGUACAGUUAGUGGAUAUUGAUAAAAAGUUUGGUUAACAUUAAUUAUUGUAAGUACGAAAAGAGUAAUUGAAGGUGGAUGAAAAUUGAUCCUCCAGAAACACUUAAGUGACUUAGGUGUGCACGUUAAUAUCAGGAUGUUAGAACGAUUGAAAUAUGAAUUUUACAAAGUACCACCCAUACAUUAGAAACAAAUAUGGAAUUUGAUUCAAUAAUGAUUACAGAAUGUAACCGCUAAUUACAAUGAACAAAUUCACAUGGAAAUAUAUGCAAUUUAAAAAAAGAAUGCGAAUUAAUCCGAAAUACGAAGAUCGUGAACGUAUUAAGGAAUAAAACUGUAGCGUAGCACAAUCAAGUUAUGUAGCAGAACGAUAUUGGUACAAAUAUGAAUAUGCACUCACAUUCCGUACAAUUCGAGUGCUACAGAUACGGAAAAGUAAUUUAUAAUUUGUCGUAAUGCGAAUUUUGGCGCGUCGCCAUAAAUAAAUUUUUGUUUAAAACGAAAUUGUUAAAUAUCCUUUUGUAUCAAUUCACAUAAAGUUAAUAAAUCAAUAUUGAACAUAUUGCUCAC